UUGGCAUUUAAUGUAGAUAAAUGCAAAGUAAUGCACCUGGGGAAUAAAAACCCAAGGGCAGAGUAUAGAAUAUUUGGUACUGUCCUAACCUCAACGUGUGAGGAAAGGGAUUUAGGGGUAAUUAUUUCUGAGGAUUUAAAGGUAGGCAGGCAAUGCAGUAGAGCAGCAGGGAAGUGCUCAUGCCGUUGUACAGAUCACUGGUGAGACCUCACUUGGAGUAUUGUGUACAGUACUGGAGACCGUAUCUCCAGAAGGAUAUAGAAAUGUUGGAGAAAGUGCAGAGAAGGGCUACUAAAAUGGUUUAUGGAUUACAAGAUAAACCUUACCAAGACAGGUUAAAGGAUCUUAACCUAUAUAGCCUGGAAAAAAGACGGGACAGGGGGGAUAUGAUAGAAACAUUUAAAUACUUAAAGGGAAUCAACAA
Molecule: long non-coding RNA, 424 nt
Organism: Spea bombifrons (plains spadefoot toad)
Lineage: Eukaryota; Metazoa; Chordata; Amphibia; Anura; Pelobatidae
Exons: 2
Source: RefSeq, a predicted model, not a curated record